CCGUAGGGGAACUGCGGAAGGAUCAUAACGAAUUAUUCUUCUCUGACUAUUGUUCCUGAGCCUAAAAAGGCAAAUUGUUAUACAAUGCCAUUUGACACAUCUUCAACGAUGGAUCUCUUGGCUCCCACCUCGAUGAAGAACGCAGCGAAAUGCGAUACGCAGUGCGAAUUGCAGAACCGCGAGUCAUCAGAUCUUCGAACGCAUCGGCGCCAAGAUAUCUUGGCAUGUUUAAUUCAGCGUGUCUAGUCAUCAAUAAUAUGUGAUUGAGGUAUCUUUCACUGAGAAUGUAGUAUCGUUGAUAAUUCCAAAUGGUCACGAAAGUGAUGGAAUAAUCAAAAACGAUGUUAUAAAAAACACCUGAAUUAAGCAAGAUUACCCGCUGAACUUAAGCAUAUCAGUAAGCGGAGGAAAAGAAACUAACAAGGAUUGUCUCAGUAGCGGCGAGUGAAGAGACAUCAGCCCAAGAUGAGAAUCUGCGGUGAGAAACCGUGGAGUUGUAAUCUCGACAGUCAUUCGCGUUCAGACUCCCUGGCUAACUUGCUUGGAAGAGUAGGCCAUAGAAGGUGAGAGCCCUGUAGGCUAGGGAAGAGGAGUAAGCGAAUGUUUGGAAGAGUCGGGUUGUUUGGGAAUGCAGCCCUAAGUGGGAGAUAGACAUCUUCUAAGGCUAAAUACCGGUGGGAGACCGAUAGCGCACAAGUACUGCGAAGGAAAGAUGAAAAGAACUUUGAAAAGAGAGUUAAAAGAUGUGAAAUCGUUGAAGCGGAACUGAUCGCAGCCCGUCCAUGCCUUAGUCUCGUACAAUGCAACAAGUCCACCUACACUCAAAUGUAGAGACCAAAUGCAAAAGUACUGCUGAGGACAAUCACAGAAUCAACUUUGUAUUAGAGAGAAACAGCCUAACUGAGUUUUGUAGGAUUAUAAUCUAAUAUAGAGUUGAGGAUGAUUCUGUGAAAGCGACUGUGAUCGACCCGUCUUGAAACACA
Molecule: ribosomal RNA, 983 nt
Filed under: Trichodina reticulata
Lineage: Eukaryota; Ciliophora; Oligohymenophorea; Mobilida; Trichodinidae
Description: eukaryotic LSU rRNA
Rfam family: Eukaryotic large subunit ribosomal RNA (bases 353-983)
Source: RNAcentral